UUCGAUUAUGGCUCAGAUUGAACGCUGGCGGGAUGCUUUACACAUGCAAGUCGAACGGCAGCACGGACUUCGGUCUGGUGGCGAGUGGCGAACGGGUGAGUAAUGUAUCGGAACGUGCCUAGUAGCGGGGGAUAACUACGCGAAAGCGUAGCUAAUACCGCGUACGCCCUUCGAGGGGGAAAGCGGGGGGACCUUCGGGCCUCGCACUAUUAGAGCGGCCGAUAUCGGAUUAGUUGGUGGGGUAACGGCUCACCAAGGCGACGAUCCGUAGCUGGUUUGAGAGGACGACCAGCCACACUGGGACUGAGACACAGCCCAGACUCCUACGGGAGGCAGCAGUGGGGAAUUUUGGACAAUGGGGGGAAACCCUGAUCCAGCCAUCCCGCGUGUGCGAUGAAGGCCUUCGGGUUGUAAAGCACUUUUGGCAGGAAAGAAACGGCACGGGAUAAUACCCCGUGCAGCGGCCAGUACCUGCAGGGCACCAGCUAACUACAUUGCCAGCACAGCCGCGGUAAUACGUAGGGUGCAAGCGUUAAUCCGGAAUUACUGGACGUAAAGCGUGCGCAGGCGGUUCGGAAAGAAGAUGUGAAAUCCCAGAGCUUAACUUUGGAACUGCAUUUUUUAACUACCGAGCUAGAGUGUGUCAGAGGGAGGUGGAAUUCCGCGUGUAGCAGUGAAAUGCGUAGAUAUGCGGAGGAACACCGAUAGCGAAGGCAGCCUCCUGGGAUAACACUGACGCUCAUGCACGAAGCGUGGGGGAGCAAACAGGAUUAAGAUACCCUGGUAGUCCACGCCCUAAACGAUGUCAACUAGCUGUUGAGGCCUUCGGGCCUUGGUAGCGCAACUAACGCGUGAAGUUGACCGCCUGGGGGAUACGGUCGCAAGAUUAGAACUCAAAGGAAUUGACGGGGACCCGCACAAGCGGUGGAUGAUGUGGAUUCAAUUCGAUGCAACGCGAAAAACCUUACCUACCCUUGACAUGUCUGGAAUCCCGAAGAGAUUUGGGAGUGCUCACAAGAGAACCGGAACACAGGUGCUGCAUGGCUGUCGUCAGCUCGUGUCCGUGAGAUGUUGGAAUUCAGAAUCCCGCAACGAGCGCAACCCUUGUCAUUAGUUGCUACGAAGGGCACUCUAAUGAGACUGCCGGUGACAAACCGGAGGAAGGUGGGGAUAGCGUCAAGUCCUCAUGGCCCUUAUGGGUAGGGCUUCACGUCAUACAAUGGUCGGGACAGAGGGUCGCCAACCCGCGAGGGGGAGCCAAUCCCAGGAAACCCGAUCGUAGUCCGGAUCGCAGUCUGCAACUCGACUGCGUGAAGUCCGGAAUCGCUAGUAAUCGCGGAUCAGCAUGUCGCGGUGAAUACGUUCCCGGGUCUUGCCACCCCCGCCCGUCACACCAUGGGAGUGGGUUUUACCAGAAGUAGUUAGCCUAACCGUAAGGAGGGCGAUUACCACGGUAGGAUUCAUGACUGGGGUGAAGUCAUGCAAGGUAG
RNAcentral lists this ribosomal RNA (1490 nucleotides) under uncultured Bordetella sp. RNAcentral's name for it is "partial 16S-23S ribosomal RNA intergenic spacer". It matches the Rfam family "Bacterial small subunit ribosomal RNA". Lineage: Bacteria; Pseudomonadati; Pseudomonadota; Betaproteobacteria; Burkholderiales; Alcaligenaceae. The record is from RNAcentral.